AAGCUCUCCGAGUGGUAGGGAUGAUUAUUGGGCUUAAAGCGUCCGUAGCCGGCUCUUCAAGUCUUUCGUUAAAGCCAGCGAUCUAAUCGUUGGACUGCGAGAGAUACUGCUGGGCUAGGGGGCGGGAGAAGUCGACGGUAUUUCCGGGGUAGGAGUGAAAUCCUAUAAUCCCGGGAGGACCACCAGUGGCGAAGGCGGUCGACUAGAACGCGCUCGACGGUGAGGGACGAAAGCUGGGGGAGCGAACC
Molecule: ribosomal RNA, 248 nt
Filed under: uncultured crenarchaeote
Lineage: Archaea; Thermoproteati; Thermoproteota
Description: partial 16S ribosomal RNA
Rfam family: Archaeal small subunit ribosomal RNA
Source: RNAcentral